UCUGCCCCUUGUGGCUGCUGUGUUACAUGUAGGUGGCAGAGAAGAGAGAGGUUAUGUCUAUGUUCAGUGUUCUGACCUAGCCCAAUACUCCCUGAAAAAAGCAAGCCUGAGAAGAUCAUCAAUCUGUCACC
Molecule: small nucleolar RNA, 131 nt
Organism: Mastomys coucha (southern multimammate mouse)
Lineage: Eukaryota; Metazoa; Chordata; Mammalia; Rodentia; Muridae
Product: small nucleolar RNA SNORA17
Exons: 1
Source: RefSeq, a predicted model, not a curated record